This is a non-coding RNA of Nemania sp. NC0429, 113 nucleotides long. Lineage: Eukaryota; Fungi; Ascomycota; Sordariomycetes; Xylariales; Xylariaceae. The record is from the annotation of a GenBank genome assembly.
GCUAACUUGGCCGAGUGGUUAAGGCGCCAGACUUAAGCGGGGUCCCACUCCAGAGAUUAUUAUCCAGAGUUCUGGUAACGAAAGUUGCGUGAGUUCGAACCUCACAGUUAGCA